Molecule: ribosomal RNA, 494 nt
Filed under: uncultured bacterium
Lineage: Bacteria
Description: partial 16S ribosomal RNA
Rfam family: Bacterial small subunit ribosomal RNA
Source: RNAcentral
GACGAACGCUGGCGGCGUGCCUAACACAUGCAAGUCGAACGGUGAAGCGCCUUCCUUUUUGGUGGGUGUGGAUGAGUGGCGAACGGGUGAGUAACACGUGAGUAACCUGCCCCCUUCUUCUGGAUAACCGCAUGAAAGUGUGGCUAAUACGGGAUAUUCUGGGUCUGUCGCAUGAUGGGUCUGGGAAAGAUAUUGUUUCGGUGGGGGAUGGGCUCGCGGCCUAUCAGCUUGUUGGUGGGGUGAUGGCCUACCAAGGCGGUGACGGGUAGCCGGCCUGAGAGGGUGGACGGUCACACUGGGACUGAGACACGGCCCAGACUCCUACGGGAGGCAGCAGUGGGGAAUAUUGCACAAUGGGCGCAAGCCUGAUGCAGCGACGCCGCGUGAGGGAUGGAGGCCUUCGGGUUGUGAACAUCUUUCGCCAGUGAAGCAGGCCUGCCUCGUUUGUGGGUGGGUUGACGGUAGCUGGAUAAGAAGCGCCGGCUAACUACGUG